Long non-coding RNA from Limulus polyphemus (Atlantic horseshoe crab), 218 nucleotides. RefSeq lists it as uncharacterized. The transcript is spliced from 4 exons. The record is from RefSeq and is a predicted model, not a curated record. Lineage: Eukaryota; Metazoa; Arthropoda; Merostomata; Xiphosura; Limulidae.
CUCAGAAAUGAAUGCAUCAAUAGUACUAUUGACGGUGUCGUAGUGACUAGGCCUAUAUUCAAUUUCGGACUAUGUUAUAGAAUUUGAUUAUGAUGUUGCAGUAUCAUAGGAGAAGAAAUGUUUUUCCUGGAAUAGUAUGAGCCCAUAUGACAGUUAUAUCUAAGAAACAGCCUGACUGAAUCAUACUUUAUUUUUUUAGUAUGUAAGUAAAAACCAAG